This 964-nucleotide long non-coding RNA is filed under the name Nicotiana tabacum (common tobacco). Its description in RNAcentral is "long non-coding RNA (NTAB_LNC016669)". Lineage: Eukaryota; Viridiplantae; Streptophyta; Magnoliopsida; Solanales; Solanaceae. The record is from RNAcentral.
GACAACAUUUUGAAAAGUCCGUGCAAUAUAGCUGGGCCAAGAAAGAUCCAAAUGAAUCUAGCACAUUUACAACUUGUUGCUUGUUUUCAUCCUUGGUACCAUCACUGCACUCCAUACUUUGACAACUAGACUUGUGACAACUCAAUACAAACCAUAACAUCAAUUUUGAACCUUUUUUUUUUGAUUAAUUUUGUCCUUAUGAUUUUCAUGCAGGCAAAGCAGUAAGAGAAGUUUGGCUAGAAAGUUAAGUGGAGAAAGGGGAGAUUCUGACUUGAGUCGUUGGGAAUUAAAAGAUGGGCAGCAGUGGACUAACAUUUUGUAAUAGAAGAUUGACAUUGACUUUUAGAAUAACUAUCUACUAGUAAAUAUAAGAGGCAAAUGAUCAUGAAUGAAUGACUAUGGCUUUUUUAGUGAUGGAAAAGUUGAGAAAAGAAAAUAGUGCUGCCCUUUCCCAGUUGCAAACUUCUACACAAGAUUUUUUAUUAUAUAGCAAUGUUGUAUGAAGUGAUGGUUAUGAUUAAUUUAUUAUUCCUUAUUAUGAUUGUAGAUUUUGUAAUAUACUCAUAUGAUUUUUUUUAAUGUGCUUGGAGUGCACCUUAACUUGCAAACAGUUAUUUUAAUUCUUUGAACUGACCAAACUUGGCUUGGCAACAGUCGCCUACAUCUUACGUGCCAAUACAAAGAUAAUGUCCCUUUCUAGUAGUCAAAGGGCAAAAUUGAAUGAAACAAGUUUUGACUAAUAAUUAAUACCAAAUGUCAGCUUGACUCAUUUGCUAAACCAAAAACUAUUCAACCUUAAAUUUGGAAGCGAAAACUUUCAUUUUGUUCAAACUUUAGUGCUACAAGGCUCCAUUCGCCUCCGGGCAAAAUGCUAUUAUUACCCCUUUGCUAUUAAAUAGUACUCCCUCUGUUUCACAUUGAAUGAGAUAGUUUGACUCGGCACGGAGUUUAAGAAAAAAGAAAA